UUCCCUGGGAGGGGUGGGAUUGGGAGUGUUCUGUUUUCAUUACUGCACCCCUUCCCCUAAAGACAACGGGACUGCCCUCCUCCACAGCGCCUUACCUCAAACAGGGGACCGAUCUUGUUCUUCUCCAGAUAGUGCCUCUUAUGCUUAUGCUGCAAUUAAGCAACUUGUGGAAGAGGCUUAUGUGGUGACAUUAGGAAAAAAGGUUGGACACCUAAUUUGCACAUCAGGACUGCCAUGGACCAUGGUGCAAUGAAGGUGAAGACUGGAGCACUCAUCACCCACGGGUCUCACUUUGUUGCCCAGGCUGGAGUAUAGUGCCCUGAUCACAGCUUGCUGCAACCUCAAGCUCCCAUGCUCAAGCAAGCUUCCUGCCUCAACUUCCCAAGUAGCUGAGACCACAGGCAUGCUCCAUGACACCUGAACUCCUGAACUCAAGCGAUCCUCCUGCCUCAGCCUUCCAAAGUGCUGGGAUUACAGGCAUGAGCCCCUGAACCCUGCCUACCCUCUGUUUCUAUGUGGUGUUUGUCUUUCUAAGCCUGGCCUAUUUCGUGUAACAUAAUUUCCUCCAGAUUUAUCCAUAUUGUCUCAAAUGACCAGAUUUCUUUCUUUUUUAAGGCUGAAUAGUAUUCCAUUGUACAUAUAUACUACAUUUUAUUUAUCCAUUCAUCUGUUGAUGGACACUUAGGUUGAUUCCAUAUCUUGGCUAUUGUGAAUAAGCUGCAAUGAACAUAGGAGUGCAGAUACUGCUUUGACAUAUUCAUUUCAUUUUCUUUGGAUAUGUAUCCAGAAGUGGAAUUGGGCUGGAAUAUAGGCAGUUCUAUUUUUAAUAUUUUGAGGAAACUCCAUAUUACUUUCCAUAAUAGCUGUGCUAAUUUACAUUCCCACCGCCAAUGUAUAAGGGCUUCCUUUUCUCCACAUCCUCUCCAACACUGGUUAUCUCUUGUCUUUUUGAUAUGUUUUCUCUUCUCUGUAAAGCUAUUGGUUGUAGCAUUUUACUUUUUCCAAAUUUUUUUAAUCAAACUUUUGAAAUGUAUAGCUGAAAUGAAAGAAUUUUAGCAUGAAUGCUAAUAUACACUCAGCACCUAUAUUCUUGCUUUUUCAUGUAUUUACUCCUGAAUUAAUAUAUUACUUGUUAUAUGCUUUUGAAAGUAAACUGCAAACAAGUGCAUGCUUCUCCUAGAUCUUUCCACAUGCUCUGCCAUUAAUUAGAGUUCAAUGUUCAAUUUUUUCCUUUUGAUGUACAAUUAAUACACAAUUAAUUUACACACACAUUUUACUUAGUUCUGAAAAAUGUAUAUACUUUUAUAACUCAAAGCCCAUCAUUAUACAACAUUACUAUCACCCUAGCAAAAUCUUUUGUGUCCCUUCUCAAUCACCAAUCCUGACCACACCCCAAGAAAACUACUGUUCAAAUUUUUCUCCAUCAUUGAUUGGCUUUGUCUGUUUUAGAACUUCAUAAAACUAAAAUACUGUAGUAAAUUAUGUACAAUUUUAUGACUAGCUUCCUUUGCUCAAUAUAAUGUUUUCGAGAUUUAUUCAUAUUGCUGCAUGUCAGUAGUUGGUUCUUUUUAUUGCUGCAUAUUUCAUUGAAUAAAAAUGCCAAAGCUUGUUUAUUCAUUCUUGUCUCACAUCAAAGUAUCUGGGGGAUGUUUUCCACUUUUGGCUAUUAGAAAUGAAACAGAUUUGAAUAUUGUCGUACAGGCUUUUUAUGCAUAUAUAUGCCUUCUUUGAGUAAAUACCCAGAAAUUAUGUUACUGGAUCAUAGGUUAAUAUAUGUUUAGUUUUAGAAGAAAAUGCUACCUCUUUUUUCCAAAAUAUUGUCCCAUUUUACACUCCCAGCAGUAAUGUAUGAGAUUUCCAGUUGCUGCACAUCCUUACCAAAAAUUAGCUUUUCUAAUUUUAGUCAUUGUAAGGGGUGUGUAGUGGUGGCUCUAUGUAGUUCUAAUUUGCAUUUCUCUAAUGACUAACGAUGUUAAACAUAUUUUUAUGUACUUGUUUCAUGUACUUGUUGAUAUGUCUAUUCAAUUCCUUUCACCAUUUUUAUGGAGCUGUUUUUUUAUUAUUGAGUUGUAGGAUUUCUUUAUAUAUGCUGCAUACCAGGCCUUUGUUAUAUACAUGCUUUGCAAUGUACAUUGUCUUAAAAUCUGUGGCUUGCCUGUUCAAUUCAUUAGUGGUGUUUUGUUAAGCAGUUUUUAAUUUUGAUGAAGUGUAACUUAUUCAUUUUUUAUUAUGGUUAUUGCUUUAUGUUUCAGGUCCCAAAUUUUGCCUUCUCACAAAUCACAAACAUUAUCCUAUGUUUUCCUUCAAAAAUUAUAUGGUUUUAUGUAUUUUCAAUCUCAAAAUAUUCUCUAAUUUUUUUGCUGAUUUAUUUACUAAAGAAAUUUGAGGGAUUUGCUAUAAUGUUAGGGAUUUUUCUAGAUGCCACAUUGUUAUUGAUUUCUAAUUUAAUUAUAUUAUGCUCAGAAAACAUAUUCUGUAUGCUUUCAACACUUUUAAAUUUAUUGAGACUUGUUGGAGGGUCCAGCAUAUAAUCUAUCUCAGUGAACACACUGUAUUUACUUGAAAAGAUGUAUAUUCUGCAGUUAUUCAGUGUAGUGUUCUAUAAAAUCAUUUAGGUCAAGGUGGUUGAUAGUUUGUUCAAAUCCAUCUACGUCUUCAUUAAUUUUAUUUAUCUGGCUCUAUCAAUUGCUAAAAGAAUGUUGUUAAAAAUUGUCAACUAUGAUUUUAGAAUCAUUUAUUUCUCCCUUUGAUUAAUGAAUGUUGUUUCAUGAAUUUUGAAGCUAUUCAGAGACAAAAAAAAACUAUUUAUGAAUAUUGUCUUCCUAAAUGAACU
RNAcentral lists this long non-coding RNA (2833 nucleotides) under Homo sapiens (human). RNAcentral describes it as "C8orf34 antisense RNA 1". Lineage: Eukaryota; Metazoa; Chordata; Mammalia; Primates; Hominidae. The record is from RNAcentral.